Molecule: ribosomal RNA, 253 nt
Filed under: uncultured bacterium
Lineage: Bacteria
Description: partial 16S ribosomal RNA
Rfam family: Bacterial small subunit ribosomal RNA
Source: RNAcentral
UACAGAGGGUGCGAGCGUUAAUCGGAAUUACUGGGCGUAAAGCGCACGUAGGCGGCCUGAUAAGUCGGGUGUGAAAGCCCUGGGCUCAACCCAGGAAGUGCACUCGAAACUGUCAGGCUUGAAUAUGGAAGAGGGUCGCGGAAUUCCCGGUGUAGAGGUGAAAUUCGUAGAUAUCGGGAGGAACACCAGUGGCGAAGGCGGCGACCUGGGCCAAUAUUGACGCUGAGGUGCGAAAGCGUGGGGAGCAAACAGG